CCUACGGGAGGCAGCAGUGAGGAAUAUUGGUCAAUGGACGAGAGUCUGAACCAGCCAAGUAGCGUGAAGGAUGACUGCUCUAUGGGUUGUAAACUUCUUUUAUAUGGGAAUAAAACGUUCCACGUGUGGGAUUUUGUAUGUACCAUAUGAAUAAGCAUCGGCUAACUCCGUGCCAGCAGCCGCGGUAAUACGGAGGAUCCGAGCGUUAUCCGGAUUUAUUGGGUUUAAAGGGAGCGUAGGUGGAUUAUUAAGUCAGUUGUGAAAGUUUGCGGCUCAACCGUAAAAUUGCAGUUGAUACUGGCAGUCUUGAGUACAGUAGAGGUAGGCGGAAUUCGUGGUGUAGCGGUGAAAUGCUUAGAUAUCACGAAGAACUCCGAUUGCGAAGGCAGUUCACUAGACUGCAACUGACACUGAGGCUCGAAAGUGUGGGUAUCAAACAGGAUUAGAUACCCUAGUAGUC
RNAcentral lists this ribosomal RNA (460 nucleotides) under uncultured bacterium. Its description in RNAcentral is "partial 16S ribosomal RNA". It matches the Rfam family "Bacterial small subunit ribosomal RNA", at positions 338 to 795 of the family's 1533-position model. The record is from RNAcentral.